RNAcentral lists this ribosomal RNA (399 nucleotides) under uncultured bacterium. Its description in RNAcentral is "bacterial SSU rRNA". It matches the Rfam family "Bacterial small subunit ribosomal RNA", at positions 28 to 420 of the family's 1533-position model. The record is from RNAcentral.
GACGAACGCUGGCGGCGCGCCUAACACAUGCAAGUCGAGCGAGAACCAGGGCUUCGGCCCUGGGGACAGCGGCGAACGGGUGAGUAACACGUGGGUAACCUGCCCUCGGCACCGGGAUAGCCCGGGGAAACCCGGAUUAAUACCGGACAGCCUCAUGAGCUCUCGGGCUCGUGAGAAAAGGUGGCUUCGGCUUCCGGCUGAGGAUGGGCCCGCGGCCGAUUAGCUUGUUGGUGAGGUAACGGCUCACCAAGGCGAUGAUCGGUAGCUGGUCUGAGAGGACGAUCAGCCACACUGGGACUGAGACACGGCCCAGACUCCUACGGGAGGCAGCAGUGGGGAAUCUUGCGCAAUGGGCGAAAGCCUGACGCAGCGACGCCGCGUGAGGGAUGACGGCCUGGU